This 460-nucleotide ribosomal RNA is filed under the name uncultured bacterium. RNAcentral describes it as "partial 16S ribosomal RNA". It matches the Rfam family "Bacterial small subunit ribosomal RNA", at positions 338 to 795 of the family's 1533-position model. The record is from RNAcentral.
CCUACGGGUGGCAGCAGUGAGGAAUAUUGGUCAAUGGACGAGAGUCUGAACCAGCCAAGUAGCGUGAAGGAUGACUGCCCUAUGGGUUGUAAACUUCUUUUAUAAAGGAAUAAAACGAGGCACGUGUGCCUUUUUGCAUGUACUUUAUGAAUAAGGAUCGGCUAACUCCGUGCCAGCAGCCGCGGUAAUACGGAGGAUCCGAGCGUUAUCCGGAUUUAUUGGGUUUAAAGGGAGCGUAGAUGGGUUGUUAAGUCAGUUGUUAAAGUUUGCGGCUCAACCGUAAAAUUGCAAUUGAUACUGGCAGUCUUGAGUACAGUUGAGGUAAGCGGAAGUCGUGGUGUAGCGGUGAAAUGCUUAGAUAUCACGAAGAACCCUGAUUGCGAAGGCAGCUUACUAAACUGUGACUGACAUUGAUGCUAGAAAGUGUGGGUAUAAAACAGGAUCAGAUACCACUGUAGUC